RNAcentral lists this ribosomal RNA (253 nucleotides) under uncultured bacterium. RNAcentral describes it as "partial 16S ribosomal RNA". It matches the Rfam family "Bacterial small subunit ribosomal RNA", at positions 524 to 776 of the family's 1533-position model. The record is from RNAcentral.
GACGUAGGGCGCGAGCGUUGUCCGGAUUUAUUGGGCGUAAAGAGCUCGUAGGCGGCUUGUCGCGUCGUCCGUGAAAACCUGCGGCUCAACUGCAGGCUGGCGGUCGAUACGGGCAGGCUGGAGUUCGGUAGGGGAGACUGGAAUUCCUGGUGUAGCGGUGAAAUGCGCAGAUAUCAGGAGGAAUACCGAUGGCGAAGGCAGGUCUCUGGGCUAUAACUGACGCUCAUGCACGAAAGCGUGGGGAGCAAACAGG